GACGAACCGUGCAAACGUUAUUCGGAAUCACUGGGCUUAAAGGGCGCGUAGGCGGGCGAUCAAGUCCGGGGUGAAAUCCUCCAGCUUAACUGGAGAAGUGCCUCGGAUACUGGUCGCCUCGAGGAGGGUAGGGGCAUCUGGAACUAGCGGUGGAGCGGUGAAAUGCGUUGAUAUCGCUAGGAACUCCGAUGGCGAAGGCGAGGUGCUGGACCCUUUCUGACGCUGAGGCGCGAAAGCCAGGGGAGCGAACGGG
This 253-nucleotide ribosomal RNA is filed under the name uncultured bacterium. RNAcentral describes it as "partial 16S ribosomal RNA". It matches the Rfam family "Bacterial small subunit ribosomal RNA", at positions 524 to 776 of the family's 1533-position model. The record is from RNAcentral.